AACGAACGCUGGCGGCAGGCUUAACACAUGCAAGUCGAACGCAUGCCUUCGGGCAUGAGUGGCAGACGGGUGAGUAACGCGUGGGAACCUACCCCUUGGUACGGGAUAGCUCCGGGAAACUGGAGAUAAUACCGUAUGUGUCCUGAGGGACAAAGAUUCAUCGCCAAGGGAUGGGCCCGCGUCGGAUUAGCUAGUUGGUGGGGUAACGGCCUACCAAGGCGACGAUCCGUAGCUGGUCUAAGAGGAUGAUCAGCCACAUUGGGACUGAGACACGGCCCAAACUCCUACGGGAGGCAGCAGUAGGGAAUCUUCGGCAAUGGACGAAAGUCUGACCGAGCAACGCCGCGUGAGUGAAGAAGGUUUUCGGAUCGUAAAACUCUGUUGGUAGAGAAGAACGUUGGUGAGAGUGGAAAGCUCAUCAAGUGACGGUAACUACCCAGAAAGGGACGGCUAACUACGUG
RNAcentral lists this ribosomal RNA (461 nucleotides) under uncultured bacterium. RNAcentral's name for it is "partial 16S ribosomal RNA". It matches the Rfam family "Bacterial small subunit ribosomal RNA", at positions 29 to 507 of the family's 1533-position model. The record is from RNAcentral.